Molecule: ribosomal RNA, 775 nt
Filed under: uncultured Neocallimastigales
Lineage: Eukaryota; Fungi; Neocallimastigomycota; Neocallimastigomycetes; Neocallimastigales
Description: partial large subunit ribosomal RNA
Rfam family: Eukaryotic large subunit ribosomal RNA
Source: RNAcentral
GUAGUCUCGCACAGAUGCAUAUCAAUAAGCGGAGGAAAAGAAACUAACAAGGAUUCCCCUAGUAACGGCGAGUGAAGCGGGAAGAGCUCAAAUUUGAAAUCUUAAAGGGUUUCCCUUUACGAAUUGUAGUUUAAAGAAGUGUUUUCUGUUGAGGUUUUGGUAAAAGUUCUUUGGAAUAGGACAUCAUAGAGGGUGAGAAUCCCGUAUUUGACCUUUACUUUCAACUUUGUGAUACACUUUCAAAAGAGUCGGAUUGUUUGGGAAUGCAGUCCAAAAUGGGUGGUAAAUUUCAUCUAAAGCUAAAUAUUGGCGAGAGACCGAUAGCGAACAAGUACCGUGAGGGAAAGAUGAAAAGAACUUUGAAAAGAGAGUUAAACAGUACGUGAAAUUGUCAAAAGGGAAGCGUUUGACACCAGUGUUGUUUUUCUGAAAAUCAAUUAAAGAACUGUUUAUGCUAAGUUGUUUAGACUUUAUCAGCUAACUGUUUAGUUUUGAGCUUUUCUUUAAUGCACUUUUCAGUUAACAAGUCAACAUCAAUUUCUUUUGCUGUAAAAGAGCUUGAGGAAGGUGGCUUGAGAUUCGUCUUAAGUGUUUAUAGCCUCUUGCCUAUGCAGUCGGAGAGAUUGAGGUCUGCAGCGUAGAUCCUUCGGGGCUAAAUGCAUUUGUGCUAAGUUAUAGCAUUUCAUAGACAACUUGUUGACUAUGAUUUGUCUUGUAGCUUACUCGCUUAUGUUAUUUUACCUACGCUUAGGAUGUUGAUCUGUAGUGCGUGCGC